GGUUAAGCGAACAAGUGCAUGUGGUGGAUGCCUUGGCGAUCACAGGCGAUGAAGGACGCGGUAGCCUGCGAAAAGCGACGGGGAGCUGGCAAACGAGCUUUGAUCCGUCGAUGUCCGAAUGGGGAAACCCGACCCUUCUGGGUCAUCCUGAGCUGAAUACAUAGGCUCAGUGAAGCGAACGCGGUGAACUGAAACAUCUAAGUAACCGCAGGAAAAGAAAUCAACCGAGAUUCCCAAAGUAGUGGCGAGCGAAAUGGGAUCAGCCUGUACUCUUUAGCACGACCGUUAGCCGAACACUCUGGAAAGUGUGGCCAUAGCAGGUGAUAGCCUUGUAGGCGGAAGCGGAUGUGUGGAACUAGGUGUACGACGAGUAGGGCGGGACACGUGAAAUCCUGUCUGAAGAUGGGGGGACCAUCCUCCAAGGCUAAAUACUCGUGAUCGACCGAUAGUGAACCAGUACCGUGAGGGAAAGGCGAAAAGAACCCCGGGAGGGGAGUGAAAUAGAUCCUGAAACCGCAUGCAUACAAACAGUCGGAGCCUUUGCGAAGGGGUGACGGCGUACCUUUUGUAUAAUGGGUCAGCGACUUACGUUCAGUAGCAAGCUUAACUGAUUAAGGCAGGCGUAGCGAAAGCGAGUCCGAAUAGGGCAUUCAGUUGCUGGGCGUAGACCCGAAACCAAGUGAUCUAUCCAUGGCCAGGUUGAAGGUGCGGUAACACGUACUGGAGGACCGAACUCAC
RNAcentral lists this ribosomal RNA (738 nucleotides) under bacterium symbiont of Ardisia crenata. RNAcentral's name for it is "bacterial LSU rRNA". It matches the Rfam family "Bacterial large subunit ribosomal RNA", at positions 1 to 783 of the family's 2925-position model. The record is from RNAcentral.